AUCGAUGAAGAACGCAGCGAAAUGCGAUAAGUAAUGUGAAUUGCAGAAUUCAGUGAAUCAUCGAAUCUUUGAACGCACAUUGCGCCCUCUGGUAUUCCGGAGGGCAUGCCUGUUCGAGCGUCAUUACAACCCUCAAGCUCUGCUUGGUAUUGGGCCUCGGGCGUCAGCCCGUGCCCUAAAAUCAGUGGCGGUGCCAUCUGGCUCUAAGCGUAGUAAAUUCUCUCGCUAUAGACGUCCGGUGGAUGCUUGCCAAAACCCCCAAUUUUUUACAGGUUGACCUCGGAUCAGGUAGGGAUACCCGCUGAACUUAAGCAUAUCAAUAAGCGGAGGAAAAGAAACCAACAGGGAUUACCUCAGUAACGGCGAGUGAAGCGGUAACAGCUCAAAUUUGAAAUCUGGGUCUUUUAGACUCCGAGUUGUAAUUUGUAGAAGAUGCUUCGGGUGUGGCUCCGGUCUAAGUUCCUUGGAACAGGACGUCAUAGAGGGUGAGAAUCCCGUAUGUGAUCGGUCGCCUAUGCCCAUGUGAAGCUCUUUUGACGAGUCGAGUUGUUUGGGAAUGCAGCUCAAAAUGGGUGGUAAAUUUCAUCUAAAGCUAAAUAUUGGCCAGAGACCGAUAGCGCACAAGUAGAGUGAUCGAAAGAUGAAAAGCACUUUGGAAAGAGAGUUAAACAGUACGUGAAAUUGUUGAAAGGGAAGCGCUUGCAACCAGACUUGCGCGUUGCCGAUCAUCUGGGGUUCUCCCCAGUGCACUCGGUUUCGCUCAGGCCAGCAUCGGUUUUGGUGGUUGGAUAAAGGCCUUGGGAAUGCAGCUUCUUUCGGGGAGUGUUAUAGCCCUCGGUGCAAUGCAGCCUACCGGGACCGAGGACCGCGCUUCGGCUAGGAUGCUGGCGUAAUGGUUGUAAGCGACCCGUCUUGAAACACGG
Molecule: ribosomal RNA, 923 nt
Filed under: uncultured Ascomycota
Lineage: Eukaryota; Fungi; Ascomycota
Description: eukaryotic LSU rRNA
Rfam family: Eukaryotic large subunit ribosomal RNA (bases 275-923)
Source: RNAcentral